RNAcentral lists this ribosomal RNA (751 nucleotides) under uncultured marine eukaryote. Its description in RNAcentral is "bacterial SSU rRNA". It matches the Rfam family "Eukaryotic small subunit ribosomal RNA", at positions 64 to 870 of the family's 1831-position model. The record is from RNAcentral.
UUUAAGUAUCUAACGGCGAAACUGCGAAUGGCUCAUUAAAACAGUUAUAGUAUAUUUGAUAAUGUUUUUACAUGGAUAACCGUGGUAAACUAGAGCUAAUACAUGCAUAAAGACCUUCGGGUUGUAUUUAUUAGCUAUAACCUUUCGCUUUGCGUAUAGAGGAAUCAUAAUAACUGAUCGGAGCGCAAUAAGUCUGCGCUAAAUCUUUCUAGUUUCUGCCCUAUCAACUUGAUGGUAGUGUAUUGGACUACCAUGGUUAUCACGGGUAACGGAGAAUUGGGGUUCGAUUCCGGAGAAGGAGCCUGAGAAACGGCUACUACAUCUACGGGAGGCAGCAGGCGCGUAAAUUACCCAAUCCUGACUAAGGGAGGUAGUCACAAGAAAUAGUAUACCAGAAAUUUUUAUUUCUAGUUUUGCAAUGGAUUUAGUUUAAAACCUUAUUUGAAAUCUAUUGGAGGGCAAGUCUGGUGCCAGCAGCCGCGGUAAUUCCAGCUCCAAUAGCGUAUCUUAAUGUUGUUGCAGUUAAAAAGCUCGUAGUCGAAUUUCUGGUCGGAGAAACCGCACUUCGUGUGGACCUUCUUUAGACCAUCCGCCUGAAAAUACUGUGGUUUUUAAUCGCUCUACUUUAGGAUCAGGCAUUUUACUUUGAAGAAAUUAGAGUGUUUCAGGCAGGCUUUCGCUUGAAUACACCAGCAUGGAAUAAUGGAAUAGGACUGAUAUCAGUUACUGGUUAAUGAUAUUAGUAAUGAUU